CUUGUAUACACCGCCCGUCACACCAUGGGAGCGGGUUCUGCCAGAAGUAGUUAGCCUAACCGCAAGGAGGGCGAUUACCACGGCAGGGUUCGUGACUGGGGUG
Molecule: ribosomal RNA, 103 nt
Filed under: uncultured bacterium
Lineage: Bacteria
Description: partial 16S ribosomal RNA
Rfam family: Bacterial small subunit ribosomal RNA
Source: RNAcentral